AGAGUUUGAUCCUGGCUCAGAUUGAACGCUGGCGGCAUGCCUAACACAUGCAAGUCGAACGGAAACGAUGCUAGCUUGCUAGCAGGCGUCGAGUGGCGGACGGGUGAGUAAUGCAUAGGAAUCUGCCUUGUGGUGGGGGAUAACGUGUGGAAACGCACGCUAAUACCGCAUAACCUCUACGGAGUAAAGCGGGGGAUCUUCGGACCUCGUGCCAAAAGAUGAGCCUAUGUCAGAUUAGCUAGUUGGUAGGGUAAAGGCCUACCAAGGCGACGAUCUGUAGCUGGUUUGAGAGAACGAUCAGCCACACUGGGACUGAGACACGGCCCAGACUCCUACGGGAGGCAGCAGUGGGGAAUAUUGGACAAUGGGCGCAAGCCUGAUCCAGCAAUGCCGCGUGUGUGAAGAAGGCCUGCGGGUUGUAAAGCACUUUCAGUUGGGAGGAAAGGUAUUGUGUUAAUAGCGCAGUACUGUGACGUUACCAACAGAAGAAGCACCGGCUAACUCUGUGCCAGCAGCCGCGGUAAUACAGAGGGUGCAAGCGUUAAUCGGAAUUACUGGGCGUAAAGCGCGCGUAGGCGGUUUAUUAAGUCGGAUGUGAAAGCCCUGGGCUCAACCUGGGAACUGCAUUCGAAACUGAUUGACUAGAGUAUGGUAGAGGGUGGUGGAAUUCCUAGUGUAGCGGUGAAAUGCGUAGAUAUUAGGAGGAACAUCA
RNAcentral lists this ribosomal RNA (712 nucleotides) under uncultured bacterium. RNAcentral describes it as "bacterial SSU rRNA". It matches the Rfam family "Bacterial small subunit ribosomal RNA", at positions 8 to 711 of the family's 1533-position model. The record is from RNAcentral.